ACUGACGCUAAAGCUCGAAGGUGCGGGUAUCGAACAGGAUUAGAUACCCUGGUAGUCCGCACGGUAAACGAUGGAUGCCCGCUGUUCGCGAUAUACUGUGAGCGGCCAAGAGAAAUCGUUAAGCAUCCCACCUGGGGAGUACGCCGGCAACGGUGAAACUCAAAGGAAUUGACGGGGGCCCGCACAAGCGGAGGAACAUGUGGUUUAAUUCGAUGAUACGCGAGGAACCUUACCCGGGCUUGAACUGCAGGGGAACGAUACAGAGGUGUUGAGGUCCUUCGGGACCCCUGUGGAGGUGCUGCAUGGUUGUCGUCAGCUCGUGCCGUGAGGUGUCGGCUUAAGUGCCAUAACGAGCGCAACCCUUUUCGUCAGUUGCCAUCAGGUGAUGCUGAGCACUCUGGCGAUACUGCCACCGUAAGGUGUGAGGAAGGUGGGGAUGACGUCAAAUCAGCACGGCCCUUACGUCCGGGGCUACACACGUGUUACAAUGGGGAGUACAGAGAGUCAACCGCCGGCAACGUCGGUUCAAUCAGGAAAGCUCUCCUCAGUUCGGAUUGGGGUCUGCAACCCGACCCCAUGAAGCCGGAUUCGCUAGUAAUCG
This 601-nucleotide ribosomal RNA is filed under the name uncultured bacterium. RNAcentral describes it as "bacterial SSU rRNA". It matches the Rfam family "Bacterial small subunit ribosomal RNA", at positions 739 to 1344 of the family's 1533-position model. The record is from RNAcentral.